Molecule: non-coding RNA, 1309 nt
Organism: Pelobates cultripes (western spadefoot toad)
Lineage: Eukaryota; Metazoa; Chordata; Amphibia; Anura; Pelobatidae
Source: the annotation of a GenBank genome assembly
CCGCUAUGAGGCAUCACAUAACUAAUAAUUUAUGUAAAAAUAAUGGUGAAUGCAAUCAUAUAGAUUAACAAUUAGUAAGACAGCUUAUGCGAAACCAAAAGAAAGGGGGGGAAACUUAGGCAUCAACCAUGGGACAUAUAAUAUGUAAUCCACAAUUUUUAAAUAAACGGGUAGCUAUGGCAUUCUCUGCUUGUAAAAGGGUACCUAGGCAACAUAAAAAGUUUCAAGACCACCAGAGUGUCUGCGCCUCGGCCCCUGUCUUGAGCGGUCAUCUCCCAGUCUUGUAAUUUGCAGGUUAGCCGGGAGCUGUAUUGGUCAGUGUCCCGAUCACAGUCAGCCGACUCCCACAUCUGGGAAACGGAAACCCCGGUAGUGAGGGUAUAUGGAGGCUUGCCAGGUGCACCGAUGGUGAGGGUAGGACUGGUGCCCCAUCAAAGCUCCGUCUGCGGUGAUCCUUGUCGGGGUUCUCUGCCUGUUACGCUUUCUGGUAGCCCGCUUUGCUGUAUGUUGGUCAUCCUCACGGCAGGCAUCCUGAGUUCUCCUGUGUUGGGUUGCGCUCUGCUGGUCGGAGGUUGUCGGGGCCAUUGUGUGCGGAGCAGGUUGUGCAUGUUGGUGGGUCCCGCUCUGGUUUGCUGGAGCGCGGGUGCUGGCGCCCGAGGUUUCCCGCCCUUGCGGUUGCCAUUGCUUGCUUGGUCGGAUGGCUGCCCCGAAGGCCCGCAGUGGGAGUCCAUAAUGGCGGCGGCGGGUCACCGGGCGGAUCCACGAGGCCACAAUUUGAGCUGCUAGAGGGUAGGACACUCCCCUGUCGCAUGAGAUCAUGUGAAAGCUCGAGCAGAGAUGGUCUAGAGCUUCCAAGGGGUGAGCAUAUGUAUGGUUGCCAGUGUUCCCUCUCUUUGGUCCCUGCUGGGCGGCCAUCUUGGAUGUGCCCCUGCAGGCUGGUGCCCCUGCUGGCUGUGUAGCCAUGGUCACUCGCUUUCUGUGUUUGUUCGCUUGGUUAGUGGGGACUGGGAUAACCCCCGCCAGUCCGGGGGGGGGGGAGAUCAGGAACGCUGCUGGGGGGAUCCGGUGCCGAAGAGAACGGCCACUCCCCGGCUCCCACUCCUGUAGGCCGCAGGUUGCGUUUCGGGUUCUGGGCUCCGACAGGCUCCAAAAAGGUAUCUGUCGAUUCUGUGGUGCACCCCCAGUGUGGGUAGCGCACCCCAGUGUGUCUUUGGGCUGAGUAGCCGUCGAUAUUGCAGUUUAUUCUGCCCGCCCGGCAGGAGCUCUUUUCCCGCACGUCUGUUCAGCCUAGCGGUCAGACUCCGCCCCC